This 644-nucleotide ribosomal RNA is filed under the name uncultured bacterium. Its description in RNAcentral is "bacterial SSU rRNA". It matches the Rfam family "Bacterial small subunit ribosomal RNA", at positions 1 to 605 of the family's 1533-position model. The record is from RNAcentral.
AUCAGCCGGUACUCGCGAAUGNCUNUAGGAUUUAAGUUUGAUCAUGGCUCAGAUCAACGCUAUNGGGAUGCCUUACACAUGCAAGUCGAACGGCAGCACAGACUUCGGUCUGGUGGCGAGUGGCGAACGGGUGAGUAAUGUAUCGGAACGUGCCCAGUAGUGGGGGAUAACUACGCGAAAGCGUAGCUAAUACCGCAUACGCCCUACGGGGGAAAGCAGGGGAUCGCAAGACCUUGACACUAUUGGAGCGGCCGAUAUCGGAUUAGCUAGUUGGUGGGGUAACGGCUCACCAAGGCGACGAUCCGUAGCUGGUUUGAGAGGACGACCAGCCACACUGGGACUGAGACACGGCCAGACUCCUACGGGAGGCAGCAGUGGGGAAUUUUGGACAAUGGGGGAAACCCUGAUCCAGCCAUCCCGCCGUGUGCGAUGAAGGCCUUCGGGUUGUAAAGCACUUUUGGCAGGAAAGAAAACGUCAUGGGUUAAUUACCCCGUGAAAACUGACGGGAACCUGGCAGCAAUAAGCACCGGCUAACGUACGUGCCAGCAGACCGCGGUAAUACGUAAGGGUGCAAGCCGUAAUCGGNAAUUAACUGGGCGUAAACGUGCGCNAGCGGUUCGGGAAGAANGCAUGUUGAAUCCAG